GGAGGGGUGGCCGAGUGGUCGAAGGCGCACGCCUGGAAAGUGUGUAUACGGCAAAACCGUAUCGAGGGUUCGAAUCCCUCCCGCUCCGCCA
This 91-nucleotide transfer RNA is filed under the name Rhodospirillaceae bacterium. RNAcentral describes it as "tRNA-Ser". It matches the Rfam family "tRNA". Rfam says of the family: Transfer RNA (tRNA) molecules are approximately 80 nucleotides in length. Their secondary structure includes four short double-helical elements and three loops (D, anti-codon, and T loops). Further hydrogen bonds mediate the characteristic L-shaped molecular structure. tRNAs have two regions of fundamental functional importance: the anti-codon, which is responsible for specific mRNA codon recognition, and the 3' end, to which the tRNAs corresponding amino acid is attached (by aminoacyl-tRNA synthetases). tRNAs cope with the degeneracy of the genetic code in two manners: having more than one tRNA (with a specific anti-codon) for a particular amino acid; and 'wobble' base-pairing, i.e. permitting non-standard base-pairing at the 3rd anti-codon position. Lineage: Bacteria; Pseudomonadati; Pseudomonadota; Alphaproteobacteria; Rhodospirillales; Rhodospirillaceae. The record is from RNAcentral.